Long non-coding RNA from Solanum lycopersicum (tomato), 597 nucleotides. RefSeq lists it as uncharacterized. Lineage: Eukaryota; Viridiplantae; Streptophyta; Magnoliopsida; Solanales; Solanaceae. The record is from RefSeq and is a predicted model, not a curated record.
GUUAAAGCUGGUAAAUUUUUAAAUACUUAAAGACUAAAAUUGAUAAUUUUAUAAUUAAGUGAUUAAAAUUGAUAAGUGUGUGUAUAGGUGACAAAUUUUUCAAGAACCAUUUUUAGACCUAUUUGGAUAGACUAGUGGUGCACAUCCCUCGUGUUGCCUUCCUUAACCUUUCAAACUCAUUCAAUCACCAAAUAGCUUUUAAUUUCAUCCUUUAUAGUCCAGGAUUGGUAUAACAUAUUUCCAAUUGCAAUUUUUUGUAGGUCUGCUGUGAGCUUGUUCAACUGUGUUUAACUUUGCUGUAGGGAACAAUAGACGAGGUCGCUUUGUUAAGGUUCUCGCGCAUUCAAAAUAAUUGAACUUGGUGCUGCAACAGAUUUGAGAGUAGGAAUGAAUUAUAUUCCGAAGGAGUUUCUUUUAGAUCCAAGGUUUAGAAGACGCAAGUAAACCUAUACAAGCAUAAUGGAUUCUUCAACAACCCACACUCUACAAUGCGUUAGGAUCAUUUUCAAAAUAUUUCUUUCAUUACUAUUAUAAGCUUUAUUAACAUUAUAUUCUAUUAUAAUGUUUAAAUAUUAGUAUUAUUAACAAAUAACCGUA